ACAGUCACACUAUUAGACUACCCCUGUAGUCCCAGCCGUAAACUAUGCUCGCUAGGUGUCAGGCAUGGCGCGACCGUGUCUGGUGCCGCAGGGAAACCGUGAAACGUGCCGCCUGGGAAGUACGGUCGCAAGGCUGAAACUUAAAGGAAUUGGCGGGGAGCACCACAACGGGUGGAGCCUGCGGUUUAAUUGGACUCAACGCCGGGAAGCUCACCGGAUAAGACAGCGGAAUGAUUGCCGGGCUGAAGACUCUGCAUGACUAGCUG
This 266-nucleotide ribosomal RNA is filed under the name uncultured archaeon. RNAcentral describes it as "partial 16S ribosomal RNA". It matches the Rfam family "Archaeal small subunit ribosomal RNA", at positions 716 to 982 of the family's 1478-position model. The record is from RNAcentral.